RNAcentral lists this ribosomal RNA (253 nucleotides) under uncultured bacterium. RNAcentral describes it as "partial 16S ribosomal RNA". It matches the Rfam family "Bacterial small subunit ribosomal RNA", at positions 524 to 776 of the family's 1533-position model. The record is from RNAcentral.
UACGAAGGGGGCUAGCGUUGUUCGGAAUCACUGGGCGUAAAGCGCACGUAGGCGGACUGAUAAGUCGGGGGUGAAAUCCCGGGGGUCAACCCCGGAACUGCCUUCGAUACUGUCAGUCUCGAGUCUGAGAGAGGAGAGUGGAAUUCCUAGUGUAGAGGUGAAAUUCGUAGAUAUUAGGAAGAACACCAGUGGCGAAGGCGGCUCACUGGCUCGGUACUGACGCUGAGGUGCGAAAGCGUGGGGAGCAAACAGG